AUUGCGAUAAGUAAUGUGAAUUGCAGAUUUCCAGUGAAUCAUCGAAUCUUUGAACGCACCUUGCGCUCCUUGGUAUUCCGAGGAGCAUGCCUGUUUGAGUGUCAUCGAAUUCUCAACCAUGAACUUUGAGAUCAUGGCUUGGAGUUGGAAGUUGCUGGCCGGAAGGUCAGCUCUUCUUAAACGGAUUAGCGAUCGAGUUGGCUAGUCUUUGACGUACACGGCCUUGGACGUGAUAAUGAUCGUCCUGGCUGGAGCGUCUUUUUUGUAGACUAUGCACACGGAUGGCUUCUAAUAAGAAUGGUCGAGCGAGCUUAGCUAUUAGGCAGUCUGCUGUUUGUUAAGGCAAGGCAAGGCUGGCGAACGCAAGCGCAAGCGCAAGCGCAAGCUUGAAUUAUGGACCAUGAUCAGUGACUUGACCUCAAAUCAGGUAGGACUACCCGCUGAACUUAA
Molecule: ribosomal RNA, 450 nt
Filed under: Xerocomus subtomentosus
Lineage: Eukaryota; Fungi; Basidiomycota; Agaricomycetes; Boletales; Boletaceae
Description: eukaryotic LSU rRNA
Rfam family: 5.8S ribosomal RNA (bases 1-104)
Source: RNAcentral